This 484-nucleotide ribosomal RNA is filed under the name uncultured bacterium. RNAcentral's name for it is "partial 16S ribosomal RNA". It matches the Rfam family "Bacterial small subunit ribosomal RNA", at positions 30 to 507 of the family's 1533-position model. The record is from RNAcentral.
AUUGAACGCUGGCGGAAUGCUUUACACAUGCAAGUCGAACGGCAGCACGGGGGCAGCCCUGGUGGCGAGUGGCGAACGGGUGAGUAAUACAUCGGAACGUGCCCGGUCGUGGGGGAUAACGUAGCGAAAGUUACGCUAAUACCGCAUACGAUCUGAGGAUGAAAGCGGGGGACCUUCGGGCCUCGCGCGAUCGGAGCGGCCGAUGUCAGAUUAGGUAGUUGGUGGGGUAAAGGCCUACCAAGCCGACGAUCUGUAGCUGGUCUGAGAGGACGACCAGCCACACUGGGACUGAGACACGGCCCAGACUCCUACGGGAGGCAGCAGUGGGGAAUUUUGGACAAUGGGCGCAAGCCUGAUCCAGUCAUUCCGCGUGCAGGACGAAGGCCUUCGGGUUGUAAACUGCUUUUGUACGGAACGAAAAGGCUCUGGCUAAUACCUGGGGCUCAUGACGGUACCGUAAGAAUAAGCACCGGCUAACUACGUG